AAAUUUCACCUAAUCGUUAUGGACUUAUAUUCACAAGUAGUAAAGGUUGAUGAUCUCAAUCGCAUUAAGUAAAUUCUUGGCAUAAGUUCCAUGCAAUCAUAGUAACAAGUGCUUCGUCAAUGCUUAUGGUUUUCAUAGAACUUAAUGAUUCUUGCUUGUAUCUCUAUUAUGCAAUCAUGUAGGGGACUUGUGGGAAAUGCUUUGGGUUGUCGUAUGCAAUCAUCCAAUUCAAUAACGUUAGGAAAAUCUGAAGGUUAAUUUAAGCGGACCUAAUUAACUUGGGGCGUUGAGAAUUCAUGGGUUAUUGAAAAGCAAUUGGAAAUCGUUUUCAAUGCAAGUAUAACAUGUGUGGAGAUGAACCCCUUAGCUAGCCUUCCAUCCAUUCAUUUAAACCAAAUUCUAUUUUAAAAUCUGCCUAGUUUACAAAGUUUGUUUUGUUUUUAAAUUCGUCCAAAAUCAAUCCCCCUUGACUUUGUUGAGUCAUAGUAGUUAGAAUUCACUUUAGUUUGUGUUUUUAAGUGUCUUAGGUCAAGUUAAAACCAAUUUUCGUCCAAGUUUGUGUCUAGUGUUCAAAACUGCCCAGAUUGUGUUUUUAAGACAGUUUUGAGUGUUUAUUUGCUGUUUUGAGUCUUUUGGUUUGUUUUGGUAUUUUAAAGUUUAGUUUUGCAUUCUUUGAGUCUAGUUUAGUGUUUUAAACUUGUUUUUACGUAUUUGAGUCAGUUUUCAAGAAAGAUGCAAGAAAUUCCGCCUUCGAUCGAACGUCCCUGAGACACCCAAUACUGCCACCUUUAUUGACUGGUGGGCCGUAUAUACUCAAGACUUUUUCUGCGCA
This 832-nucleotide long non-coding RNA is filed under the name Malus domestica (apple). RNAcentral's name for it is "long non-coding RNA (MDOM_LNC012926)". Lineage: Eukaryota; Viridiplantae; Streptophyta; Magnoliopsida; Rosales; Rosaceae. The record is from RNAcentral.